UACGGGGGGGGCAAGCGUUGUUCGGAAUUACUGGGCGUAAAGGGCUCGUAGGCGGCCAACUAAGUCAGACGUGAAAUCCCUCGGCUUAACCGGGGAACUGCAUCUGAUACUGGAUGGCUUGAGUUCGGGAGAGGGAUGUGGAAUUCCAGGUGUAGAGGUGAAAUUCGUAGAUAUCGGGAGGAACACCAGCGGCGAAGGCGGCGAUCUGGGGCGAUACUGACGCUGAGGUGCGAAAGCGUGGGGAGCAAACAGG
Molecule: ribosomal RNA, 253 nt
Filed under: uncultured bacterium
Lineage: Bacteria
Description: partial 16S ribosomal RNA
Rfam family: Bacterial small subunit ribosomal RNA
Source: RNAcentral